This 440-nucleotide ribosomal RNA is filed under the name uncultured bacterium. RNAcentral's name for it is "partial 16S ribosomal RNA". It matches the Rfam family "Bacterial small subunit ribosomal RNA", at positions 338 to 795 of the family's 1533-position model. The record is from RNAcentral.
CCUACGGGUGGCAGCAGUAGGGAAUAUUGCUCAAUGUGGGAAACCCUGCAGCAGCAACGCCGCGUGGAGGAUGAAGGUUUUCGGAUUGUAAACUCCUUUUGUUAGAGAAGAUAAUGACUGUAUCUAACGAAUAAGCACCUGCUAACUCCUUGCCAGCAGCCGCGGUAAUACGAAGGGUGCAAGCGUUACUCGGAAUCACUGGGCGUAAAGAGCUCGUAGGCGGGAUAACAAGUCCGAUGUGAAAUCCUAUUGCUUAAACAUAGAACUGCAUUUGAAAAUGUUAUUCUAGAGUAUGGGAGAGGUAGGUGGAAUUCUUGGUGUAGGGGUAAAAUCCGUAGAGAUCAAGAGGAAUACUCAUUGCGAAGGCGACCUGCUAGAACAUAACUGACGCUGAUGCGCGAAAGCGUGGGGAGCAAACAGGAUUAGAUACCCCUGUAGUC